CCUACGGGAGGCAGCAGUGAGGAAUAUUGGUCAAUGGACGAGAGUCUGAACCAGCCAAGUAGCGUGAAGGAUGACUGCCCUAUGGGUUGUAAACUUCUUUUAUAUGGGAAUAAAAUGUUCCACGUGUGGGCUUUUGUAUGUACCAUAUGAAUAAGGAUCGGCUAACUCCGUGCCAGCAGCCGCGGUAAUACGGAGGAUCCGAGCGUUAUCCGGAUUUAUUGGGUUUAAAGGGAGCGUAGGUGGAUUGUUAAGUCAGUUGUGAAAGUUUGCGGCUCAACCGUAAAAUUGCAGUUGAAACUGGCAGUCUUGAGUACAGUAGAGGUGGGCGGAAUUCGUGGUGUAGCGGUGAAAUGCUUAGAGAUCACGAAGAACUCCGAUUGCGAAGGCAGCUCACUGGACUGCAACUGACACUGAGGCUCGAAAGUGUGGGUAUCAAACAGGAUUAGAUACCCUAGUAGUC
This 460-nucleotide ribosomal RNA is filed under the name uncultured bacterium. Its description in RNAcentral is "partial 16S ribosomal RNA". It matches the Rfam family "Bacterial small subunit ribosomal RNA", at positions 338 to 795 of the family's 1533-position model. The record is from RNAcentral.